AGAGUUUGAUCAUGGCUCAGAUUGAACGCUGGCGGCAUGCUUUACACAUGCAAGUCGAACGGUAACAGGCCGCAAGGUGCUGACGAGUGGCGAACGGGUGAGUAAUGUAUCGGAACGUGCCCAGUCGUGGGGGAUAACGCAGCGAAAGCUGCGCUAAUACCGCAUACGAUCUAUGGAUGAAAGCGGGGGACCGUAAGGCCUCGCGCGAUUGGAGCGGCCGAUAUCAGAUUAGGUAGUUGGUGGGGUAAAGGCUCACCAAGCCAGCGAUCUGUAGCUGGUCUGAGAGGACGACCAGCCACACUGGGACUGAGACACGGCCCAGACUCCUACGGGAGGCAGCAGUGGGGAAUUUUGGACAAUGGGCGCAAGCCUGAUCCAGCAAUGCCGCGUGCAGGAAGAAGGCCUUCGGGUUGUAAACUGCUUUUGUACGGAACGAAACGGUCCUGGUUAAUACCUGGGGCUAAUGACGGUACCGUAAGAAUAAGCACCGGCUAACUACGUGCCAGCAGCCGCGGUAAUACGUAGGGUGCAAGCGUUAAUCGGAAUUACUGGGCGUAAAGCGUGCGCAGGCGGUUUUGUAAGACAGGCGUGAAAUCCCCGGGCUUAACCUGGGAAUGGCGCUUGUGACUGCAAAGCUGGAGUGCGGCAGAGGGGGAUGGAAUUCCGCGUGUAGCAGUGAAAUGCGUAGAUAUGCGGAGGA
RNAcentral lists this ribosomal RNA (700 nucleotides) under uncultured bacterium. RNAcentral describes it as "bacterial SSU rRNA". It matches the Rfam family "Bacterial small subunit ribosomal RNA", at positions 8 to 705 of the family's 1533-position model. The record is from RNAcentral.